AAAAACUUUCAACAACGGAUCUCUUGGCUCUGGCAUCGAUGAAGAACGCAGCGAAAUGCGAUAAGUAAUGUGAAUUGCAGAAUCUAGUGAAUCAUCGAAUCUUUGAACGCACAUUGCGCCCCUUGGUAUUCCGAGGGGCAUGCCUGUUCGAGCGUC
Molecule: ribosomal RNA, 156 nt
Filed under: Erysiphe japonica var. crispulae
Lineage: Eukaryota; Fungi; Ascomycota; Leotiomycetes; Helotiales; Erysiphaceae
Also listed under: 1 other name
Description: 5.8S rRNA
Rfam family: 5.8S ribosomal RNA
About the family: 5.8S ribosomal RNA (5.8S rRNA) is a component of the large subunit of the eukaryotic ribosome.
Source: RNAcentral